GGUAGAGGAGAAAACCCUGAGCCCUUCUCAGAGGAGCACAGGGCUGACCCCGGAGCAGCUCCUGGGCAUAACUCACUGUCCUGUGAGCCUGGGCUGCUGUGUCAGGGCCUCGUGCUAAGUCAUGGUCACUUCCCAGUCACUGAAGGCUUCUGCUGACGACCCCAUCUGCCUCAGACUAUUUUAGGACUUAGCCCCGUCAGGGAUUCCUUCUACUUAAACGACUGCUGUUUUGUUUUCUUCCCUUUUCUCCCUCUUCAGUCACCUGGUGCCAUGCAGAGAAGGCUUGACCUGGCAAAUCUGAGAUAAGUUUAUUCAGGUUUCUAUUAUGUGAUUCAGUCAUCAUUUCAUAUCUAGAUCUUUGGGGACUUCUUCACUUUUCAUACUAAAGUGGGCUUGGCAGUGGUGAGCAGUGCGCAGGCAGGAUUGUGUUCUAGUGCGUCUCAAAUUUUGAUGUUUACAAACUGCCUGGGAAUUUUGUGAAAAAUGCAAACUCUUAUCCAGGAGGUCUAGGUUAGGGCCCAAGAGUCUCUGUUUUUAAAAAGCUCCCAGGUGAUGCUGAUGCUUCUGGUCCAGCGUCCACACAGUGUGGAUUUUAACUUUGCCUGAACACUAGAAUGACUCGGGGAAUUUAAAAACUACCAUCACCCAGGCUCCGUCCAGACCAGAAUCAACAAGCACAACGUCCAGGACUUUAUAAAUGUGGUUCAUUUGUUGACUUUCCCACUCCCACAGCGGGGACGGCUGAUUCUGAGCUCUGAACUCAUGUAAAAUGAAAGACAUGGAGACAUAGCAGGACAGUUGUGCCUCUCACCAUGCCUUCUCCAAGGGUGACUUCUGGAAGCUGCCCAGGCUGGUCAGCCACCCCGGCUCUUGACUGAUGGAAAAGCACAGUAUGGGCAGGAGAUUGAAGCUGAAGGAAAUGGUACCCUGGCUCUGGGUAGUUUGUUGUUAUUUUCUUCCUCUCUGGGAAGGAACAUGCCCAAUAGUCGCUGUGUGAAGCAGAGGUUCAGAUAUUUGGAAACAAGGAAAGUGAGGAUCUAGCUCCCCGUAAUGGGAUAUUUGAGCGAGAAUCACUCAGCAUGAGAGUUUCGUUCAUCAUGUGGCAAAGGGCUGUGCUGAUGCAAUUUUGGAGACGGAUGCAGUGAAGCUGAAGUGAGCAGUUUUUCUUUGCUUCAGUCUCCUGAUCUGAAGAGAUUCUGUCUCCUUCGAGCUUAAUCUUCGCUUUAUUCACUGCUCUUCUCAGGGGAGCCAAGGAUUUAGUUAAUCAAUUGGCCCUCUCUGGAAGGAGAGGAAAUGGUCUGUCACCACCACUGGAAGGAAUCUUCCCGCCUACCUCGUCCUGCCCCGUUUGUGGAGACAUUCAUUCUGUUGGCGUCUGGGGCUAAUUUAGUGUGUCCAGCCCACUCAUUCCAUUUCAUAGAGCCCAUGGAAGCUGCAAUGAUUGGAAAAGCAAGACUACAUUUUAAAAAUGGCUUCGAGCUUCAGUUGUUUGCGUGUGAAAUGCAGAAUAAUGCAAACUUUUUUCCUCUGCGACUAGCAGAGCAGUUAAUCUUGGCAGUUUUACAUAACAGAGCCUGAAAACAGACCGCCGCCCCACCCCCACCCCCCCCUGUGCAAUUUAUUCGAUGCUUACAAGUUGCCCACUGGGUUUUCAAUGAGAAAGAUAGUUUUGCCUUAAAUAAUUGGAUCAAACGAAAAAACGAGAGUGCUCCUCUGCCAGCAACAAUCUGGAGUCACUUCUGGGGCUGCUACCUGGUUAUUGCUGUGAAGUCGAGCCCAGAAUCACGACCUCUCAGACCCCACUGCAGUAACAGACCUGGUUUUUUCCUGAGAGGAUGAGAUCAGGGCAGGUGGAAGAUGCUCAGCGUGGACUCAGUCCUCUUCAUGCUUUUUUAUUAUCAAAAUAUUUAAGGGGCAAUUUGCAGCCCGGUGUGUGGGCACUUAACCACACGCCUCCUAUUACCACUGAUGGGAUUCCUGCAGCUCGGCCCCUGAGCUUCCAUUUACCCUUUAAUUUAAGAAGUUCUCCUGUCAUGGUGCUAUUAACAGCUGUUUUCUGAGAAAAACAACCAAUACCAAUGCACACACCCUCUUGCAUUUUCCUGUACCUGGGAUACACACCCAUCCGGAAAGCUUCCUCGUUUGACACCAAAUGAUGUGAGAGACUGAAUAUAUGAACAGACAGUGGCUGGGCCAUAUACACAAACAGAACUCUGAUCACAACCGGCAGCAGCCUACGCAGGAAACCAGCCCCUGUCUACAACAAACAGCUCAGGAAGCCUGCCUGCUAUGCCAGGCUUGCACAGAGCCAGAUUGCUCUCUCUGGUGACAAUCCAGGAAGCUAAAUAAUAACUUACGUAACAAUCCACUCAAAAUGGCCAGCUUCCCUAAUUUUUGGCCCUGCUUCCAACUUAGGACCAACCAGAGAAAGCCAAAUAUGCACCCCCAACCAACCCCACAGGACACCCCACUCCCGGUUAGCCCUCCUCCAGCUUCCCCAGGCCAACAGCCUCCAAUUGGGGCACCCCUGGAGCCUUUACUGUAAAGCUCUUCCACCCCUCUGCCUGCCUUUGAGUCUUGGCCAAACGCAAGUGGUGGUGGCUGCCUCCCUCUCUACAGCAAGCUCUGAAUAAACAGCCUUUGCCUAUUCUCAU
Molecule: long non-coding RNA, 2654 nt
Organism: Equus caballus (horse)
Lineage: Eukaryota; Metazoa; Chordata; Mammalia; Perissodactyla; Equidae
Source: Ensembl